GCUGCGUUAGCUCUCCCGAUAGCUACCUGCCUGUCGGCAGACAAGUCGGGACGGUAGAGCAACGGGACUGAAAAUCCUGUGCCUGCCCGCCGCGGCGGGUCGGCGGUUCGAUCCCGCCCCACAGCA
Molecule: transfer RNA, 126 nt
Filed under: Chitinophagaceae bacterium
Lineage: Bacteria; Pseudomonadati; Bacteroidota; Chitinophagia; Chitinophagales; Chitinophagaceae
Description: tRNA-Phe
Source: RNAcentral